Molecule: long non-coding RNA, 320 nt
Organism: Frankliniella occidentalis (western flower thrips)
Lineage: Eukaryota; Metazoa; Arthropoda; Insecta; Thysanoptera; Thripidae
Exons: 2
Source: RefSeq, a predicted model, not a curated record
GUUCAUUCUACACCAGGACAUUAAUGUUCAGCUUUGUACAUCUUGCUUUAACUUUUUCAGCCUCAGAGCAAAUUCCACUUGGUGGCGGAGUCAACUGGGCAACUUGUGAGCCUGCUGGCCCAGAAGUGCCGCAGCGUAGCCCUGUUGACUCUCCCAACGGUGGCCAGGUUUUCGCCAGAUUGUGGCGUCAACCGCAAAGUGGCGGACUUCAAUGAACGUCUCCGACGUUUGGCUCGAAGGUACCCACAGUGCAUAAUUAUUGAAACCGAAGAAAUGUGCAAGGAUAGCCAAGGCCAAGUACUGCUCAAGUUCUAUCAAGC